RNAcentral lists this ribosomal RNA (492 nucleotides) under uncultured bacterium. Its description in RNAcentral is "partial 16S ribosomal RNA". It matches the Rfam family "Bacterial small subunit ribosomal RNA", at positions 28 to 507 of the family's 1533-position model. The record is from RNAcentral.
GAUGAACGCUAGCUACAGGCUUAACACAUGCAAGUCGAGGGGAAACGCCAUCGAAAGCUUGCUUUUGAUGGGCGUCGACCGGCGCACGGGUGAGUAACGCGUAUCCAACCUGCCCAUCACUUGGGAAUAACCUUGCGAAAGUAAGACUAAUACCCAAUGACAUCCCACGAAGACAUCUGAAUGGGAUUAAAGAUUUAUCGGUGAUGGAUGGGGAUGCGUCUGAUUAGCUUGUUGGCGGGGUAACGGCCCACCAAGGCAACGAUCAGUAGGGGUUCUGAGAGGAAGGUCCCCCACAUUGGAACUGAGACACGGUCCAAACUCCUACGGGAGGCAGCAGUGAGGAAUAGUGGUCAAUGGGCGAGAGCCUGAACCAGCCAAGUAGCGUGCAGGAUGACGGCCCUAUGGGUUGUAAACUGCUUUUAUAAGGGAAUAAAGUGGGUCUCGUGAGACUUUUUGCAUGUACCUUAUGAAUAAGGACCGGCUAAUUCCGUG